This 251-nucleotide long non-coding RNA is filed under the name Homo sapiens (human). RNAcentral describes it as "HSALNT0360710". Lineage: Eukaryota; Metazoa; Chordata; Mammalia; Primates; Hominidae. The record is from RNAcentral.
AGAGGGGGAAUGAAUGCCUCAGCUCCCAGCCUUGAUGUGUUCUGCGGGAACUACAGGGCCUCCAUCGCACACUGCAGGACUGGACCAAAGUUUCCCUCGCAACUUCCCACAGAUUGGGUGGCAGUUCUCAAAGAAUACACCUGAUCUUACCAUACCUGAUGUAAGACAAUGAUGCUACUGAGAUACAUGACAACAUGCACCUGCUUCUGAGGAGCUCAUAAUGCAGCCUGCAGCACAGAUCUUCACCAAGA